Non-coding RNA from Rhinopithecus roxellana (golden snub-nosed monkey), 496 nucleotides. The record is from the annotation of a RefSeq genome assembly. Lineage: Eukaryota; Metazoa; Chordata; Mammalia; Primates; Cercopithecidae.
AUGAGGGCCCCUGCUCAGCUCCUGGGGCUCCUGCUACUCUGUUUCCCAGGUGCCAAAUGUGAUGUCCAGUUGACCCAGUCUCCAACCUUCCUGUCUGCAUCUGUAGGAGACAGAGUCACCAUCGCUUGCCGGGCGAGUCAAAGCAUUAACAGAGGAUUAGCCUGGUAUCAGCAGAAGCCAGGGAAAGCGCCUAAGCUGCUGAUUUCUUAUGCAUCCAGUUUGUACACUGGUGUGCCAUCGAGGUUCAGUGGCAGUGGAUCUGGGACAGAUUUCACGCUCACCAUCAGUAGCCUACAGCCUGAAGAUGCUGCAACUUAUUAUUGUUUCUAGUAUAAUAGUUACCCUCUCACAGUGUUACAAGUCAGAACAUAAACCACCCAAGGAAGAAGAUAUGUAAGGGUGGGCUGCCCAAGAUGCUCCUCUUGCAGCUCUAUCUGCUGACAGCAUUUCUUGGAAAUAGCCACAUUUUGAAGGUCACUUUUUGGUUUUGGUAGAA